Molecule: ribosomal RNA, 415 nt
Filed under: Cryptosporidium parvum
Lineage: Eukaryota; Apicomplexa; Conoidasida; Eucoccidiorida; Cryptosporidiidae
Description: SSU rRNA
Rfam family: Eukaryotic small subunit ribosomal RNA
Source: RNAcentral
GGAUUUCUGUUAAUAAUUUAUAUAAAAUAUUUUGAUGAAUAUUUAUAUAAUAUUAACAUAAUUCAUAUUACUAUAUAUUUUAGUAUAUGAAAUUUUACUUUGAGAAAAUUAGAGUGCUUAAAGCAGGCAUAUGCCUUGAAUACUCCAGCAUGGAAUAAUAUUAAAGAUUUUUAUCUUUCUUAUUGGUUUUAAGAUAAGAAUAAUGAUUAAUAGGGACAGUUGGGGGCAUUUGUAUUUAACAGUCAGAGGUGAAAUUCUUAGAUUUGUUAAAGACAAACUAAUGCGAAAGCAUUUGCCAAGGAUGUUUUCAUUAAUCAAGAACGAAAGUUAGGGGAUCGAAGACGAUCAGAUACCGUCGUAGUCUUAACCAUAAACUAUGCCAACUAGAGAUUGGAGGUUGUUCCUUACUCCUUCA